RNAcentral lists this long non-coding RNA (861 nucleotides) under Sus scrofa (pig). RNAcentral's name for it is "lncRNA (ENSSSCG00055018757.1)". Lineage: Eukaryota; Metazoa; Chordata; Mammalia; Artiodactyla; Suidae. The record is from RNAcentral.
UAUUGUUUUCAGAGUGGAGAGAUCUACAGACCAAGUCAUCAAGCCGGUCAAUGUGGGAGCUCUAUCAAAAUGGGUUGGGAAGAUACCUCCAGAUGUUUUACAAGACAUGGCAGUGAUUGCACCCAUGCUUGCCAAGCUUGGAUAUGACCCAUAUGCCAACCCACCUAACUAUGGAAAACCUGAUCCCAAAAUCCUUGAAAACACUAGAAGGGUCUAUAAAGGAGAAUUUCAGCUACCUGAAUUUCUUAAAGAAAAACCUCAGACUGAGCAAGUGGAGUAGCAGAGCCAGGAACCUCUUCACAUACGUGAGGGAAGGCUGCUGCCUUUUCAACGGCAGAGAAAUUUCUAGGGCUGGCUGCCCCUGCUGAGGUCAGCGGAGCAGAGGUCUGUGCCGUGACCCGCAUCUCCUGUUCAUUCUCCAGUCUCCUCCCACUCAGCCGGCGGGAGGUCAGCACACCUCUGGACCAUCCCAAGUGACCUGCUUCCCGAGUGCAGCGCUCUUGAUCCUGACCCAUGCCCAGCCCCGCGGGUCAGAAGCCCAGGGCGACGUGUGCUUUCUGUUAACACUGCUCUGGUUCUCAUCGUUUCUUCCCAGAUUCCAAGCUUCGUUUUCAAGGGGAGGGUUUUAAAAUGGGUUUCUGUAAGCAAAAUUGGGCAGUUUCGUCUUGGAAUAGGUUGUCUGUACAUGUUCUAAUGUUUUGUAGAACACUUGUACCUGUUUAAAUGUAUUGAUGUGGGUAAUAUUAAAUCUUAAUUAUUUAAAUAAUUCAUUGUAUUAUUUCCGAGAAGUUGAGGGAUUAUCUCAUACAUUUACAACUUGAUGACUUUUGUAUUUUAUUUUUCAAAAUAAAAGCUUUAAAU